The sequence is a transfer RNA, 93 nucleotides long. It matches the Rfam family "tRNA". From Rfam's summary of the family: Transfer RNA (tRNA) molecules are approximately 80 nucleotides in length. Their secondary structure includes four short double-helical elements and three loops (D, anti-codon, and T loops). Further hydrogen bonds mediate the characteristic L-shaped molecular structure. tRNAs have two regions of fundamental functional importance: the anti-codon, which is responsible for specific mRNA codon recognition, and the 3' end, to which the tRNAs corresponding amino acid is attached (by aminoacyl-tRNA synthetases). tRNAs cope with the degeneracy of the genetic code in two manners: having more than one tRNA (with a specific anti-codon) for a particular amino acid; and 'wobble' base-pairing, i.e. permitting non-standard base-pairing at the 3rd anti-codon position. The record is from Rfam.
UCCAAUGUGGUGUAGUGGCUAACAUUGCUGUCUUUCAUGGAUGCUCAUGAAGCAUGCUCACAGCAGCCCGGGGUUCGAUUCCCCGCAUUGGAA